RNAcentral lists this ribosomal RNA (562 nucleotides) under Metaplastes ornatus. RNAcentral describes it as "SSU rRNA". It matches the Rfam family "Eukaryotic small subunit ribosomal RNA", at positions 720 to 1163 of the family's 1831-position model. Lineage: Eukaryota; Metazoa; Arthropoda; Insecta; Orthoptera; Tettigoniidae. The record is from RNAcentral.
AUGAUUCGUGGGACGUCCUGCCGGUGGUGGCGAGUCGAAGGAGUGCACCCGUUGUGGUUUAUCCACUUCGGUUCUUGCGCGCCGGAGGCGGACCCCGAUGAAAUCCUACCGCGGUGCUCUUAACCGAGUGUCGAGGUGGGCCGGCACGUUUACUUUGAACAAAUUAGAGUGCUUAAAGCAGGCCUGUUGCGCCUGAAUACUGUGUGCAUGGAAUAAUGGAAUAGGACCUCGGUUCUAUUUUGUUGGUUUUCGGAACCCGAGGUAAUGAUUAAUAGGGACAGGCGGGGGCAUUCGUAUUGCGACGUUAGAGGUGAAAUUCUUGGAUCGUCGCAAGACGGACCGAAGCGAAAGCAUUUGCCAAGUAUGUUUUCAUUAAUCAAGAACGAAAGUUAGAGGUUCGAAGGCGAUCAGAUACCGCCCUAGUUCUAACCAUAAACGAUGCCAGCUAGCGAUCCGCCGAAGUUCCUCCGAUGACUCGGCGGGCAGCUCCCGGGAAACCAAAGCUUUUGGGUUCCGGGGGAAGUAUGGUUGCAAGCUGAAACUUAAAGGAAUUGACGGAAGG